This is a long non-coding RNA of Ictidomys tridecemlineatus (thirteen-lined ground squirrel), 1274 nucleotides long. RefSeq lists it as uncharacterized. Lineage: Eukaryota; Metazoa; Chordata; Mammalia; Rodentia; Sciuridae. The record is from RefSeq and is a predicted model, not a curated record.
UAUUUUUUAGUUUUCAUCGGACACAACAUAUUUAUUUGUAUGUGAUGCUGAAGAUCGAACCCAGGCUGCAUGCAUGCCAGGCGAGAGUGCUACUGCUUGAGCCACAUCCCCAGCCCUAUACAGUUUUUAAUAGGAAUUUACUGCUUAGUUUUAAAAGAUUAUCAUUUAUUCUGUUGUAACAAACCAAUUUCUUAAUGUUAAUUUAAAAUAUAAUGGGAAAGAUGGUUUUUCAAAAUAAAGUAUUAAUCUAGAAAUUAAGAUUUUUGAGCAAGUGAUUUAAAUGUUUACUUUCUCCUCUGUAGCAUAGAAAUAUAUGGAGAGCAUGAAACAAGAUAAUCUGAGAAAGGAUCUAGUCCAUGCAAACUAAUAGCUGUGCAAUAUAAAAAAAAAUUAGCGGGCUGGGAUGUAGCUCAGUGGCAAAGCGUCUGCCUUGCAUUCGCAAAGCCCUGGGUUUGACCCCCAGUUCCAAAAAAGACAAAAAAAGAACCCCACAAAAAAAAAAAUAAGAUUAAAAAAAAUUAGCUACCUUAAAAAUUUAUAUAGAUAUAUAAAGCUUAAUAUAAUUGAAAGUUACUUUAGAUUUAAUCAUUGUACAGAAUUAAAGGCAACAUAGCUUAGAAUAGUGGUUAUUUUAAUUUUCAUACAAAUCCAAAACAUUCCUUGGCCCUGGAAUUACUUGUCAUAUAAUUGCAAUUCAUAGUCAGAAGUUCCUAAAGUCUUCACAGUGGAUUUUUCUGAUGAGACUUGACUGUUGAAGUUGGCUAACAAGUUGCUGACAUCCAGGCAGGCAUUCUCUUCUGUAAAGUCGUCUUCAUAAGCCCCUACAAGCCAGCCAUUUCACUAGGCUUGAAAAUGCUGAUUCAAAAUACACACUUUAACCCUCAAAUAUACAAGAAUGUUACUAGGUAAUUCAAUAUGUGUUAACUUUGUUUUCCUUACAGUUCUCAGACAUUCAGAGAAGUGAUUACAGAGUAUGUUUGCUUUUCAUUUUGGGGUUUUUUAUGAUUUUUUUAUUUAUUUAUUUUCAUUACAAUUUGAAUCUUGGCACCCUUGGAGAGAACUUAUUGCCUCGGGACCUUCUCACUGCAUCUUCCUCCACCACGUCCGCAGACUUGUCUCUCUCAGUAGAGGAUGACAGUGCUCAAAAUUAUCCCAGUUUCAGAGUUUCUAGAACCAUACUAUACAGAGUACUUUGAAAUGCAACUUGGCCAAAUGAAGAGUGUGUUUUCAGCGGACACAACAUCUUUGUAUGUGGUGCUGAGGAUCGAACCCCG